UAGGGAAUUUUCCGCAAUGGGCGCAAGCCUGACGGAGCGACGCCGCGUGGGUGAAGACGGCCUUCGGGUUGUAAAGCCCUGUUCAUCGGGAAGAAGAAAUGACGGUACCGGUGAAGAAAGCCCCGGCUAACUACGUGCCAGCAGCCGCGGUAAUACGUAGGGGGCGAGCGUUGUCCGGGAUGAUUGGGCGUAAAGGGCGUGUAGGCGGAUACAUAAGUCGGGCGUGAAAGGCGCGGGCUCAACCCGUGUAAGCGUUCGAAACGGUGUAUCUUGAGUGCAGUAGAGGAAAGCGGAAUUUCUGGUGUAGCGGUGGAAUGCGUAGAUAUCAGAAGGAACACCGGUGGCGAAGGCGGCUUUCUGGACUGUUACUGACGCUGAGGCGCGAAGGCGUGGGGAGCAAACAGGAUUAGAUACCCCUGUAGUCC
This 425-nucleotide ribosomal RNA is filed under the name uncultured bacterium. Its description in RNAcentral is "bacterial SSU rRNA". It matches the Rfam family "Bacterial small subunit ribosomal RNA", at positions 355 to 796 of the family's 1533-position model. The record is from RNAcentral.